GCGGCGGUAGAUGCGCGGGUCGAAAUCGGCGGCCUCGAGCCCAAGGAUCCGCGACUGCUGUUCAUCGAGCUGAAGCCGCAGGCGCGCAUCGUCGUGGUGUUCGACUCGCCCCCCGACG
RNAcentral lists this transfer RNA (118 nucleotides) under Polyangiaceae bacterium. Its description in RNAcentral is "tRNA-OTHER". Lineage: Bacteria; Pseudomonadati; Myxococcota; Polyangiales; Polyangiaceae. The record is from RNAcentral.